AGUGACAGAUCCAAAAAUUUGUUAAUUCGAGGUAUAAAAUAAAGUACUCAUCACUCUGUGUGACAAAAAGCAGUGACAGAUCCAAAAAUUUGUUAAUUCGAGGUAUAAAAUAAAGUACUCAUCACUCUGUCAUUGAAGAUCAAUACUCUUUCUAUGGAUCCCCUAUUGGAGUAAAGUUGCAAUUUAAAAUUUUGUAAAUACAUCUCUUAUUUCAUUAUUACUCGAGUUUGGAUUGAUUUGGUGAAUCAUUUUUUAUCAUUUAGUGAGCUAAGUUGAACUACGUGAAGGCCGAGACUAGUAACGAACAAUAUAAUUGACUUAGCUAGCGAUAUGGAUUAGAUAACACCAAGUUUUUUUUUUUUUUUUGGAGAAUUGCAAAUUAUUCUCCACUCUAAAUGGUGAGGCACGUCGUUCGAGUAGGCAACUUUAUCAAUAACAAAUUAAGGCCUAUGUUUUUUAUUUCUUUUGCCCCAACUCCAUGUGAAUGAAAGUUCUUUGCAAUCGACUAUUAGAUUCGUAAUCAGGUUCGGAGGAAUUAAAUUGAGAAAGAAUUGAAUUGAUGAGUUGGACUGAAGAGGACUUGGAAUCCAAUUUCUCAUUAAAGUUGUUUACUAAACUAUAUGGAAUUGGAUUUAGAGUGAAAAGUCUAUAUCUUACUAGUAAGUUAGAGUGAAAAGUCUAUAUCCUUAUUUUGUGUGGACCUCGU
This 706-nucleotide long non-coding RNA is filed under the name Prunus persica (peach). RNAcentral describes it as "long non-coding RNA (PPER_LNC004081)". The record is from RNAcentral. Lineage: Eukaryota; Viridiplantae; Streptophyta; Magnoliopsida; Rosales; Rosaceae.